CGUGAAUACGUUCCCGGGCCUUGUACACACCGCCCGUCAAGCCAUGGAAGCUGGGUGUACCUAAAGUCGGUAACCGCAAGGAGCCGCCUAGGGUAAAACUAGUGACUGGGGCU
This 113-nucleotide ribosomal RNA is filed under the name uncultured bacterium. RNAcentral's name for it is "partial 16S ribosomal RNA". It matches the Rfam family "Bacterial small subunit ribosomal RNA", at positions 1361 to 1482 of the family's 1533-position model. The record is from RNAcentral.